CCUACGGGAGGCAGCAGUGGGGAAUAUUGGACAAUGGGGGGAACCCUGAUCCAGCGACGCCGCGUGAGUGCAGAAGUAUUUCGGUAUGUAAAGCUCUAUCAGCAGGGAAGAAAGAAAUGACGGUACCUGACUAAGAAGCCCCGGCUAACUACGUGCCAGCAGCCGCGGUAAUACGUAGGGGGCAAGCUUUAUCCGGAUUUACUGGGUGUAAAGGGAGCGUAGACGGCGAUGCAAGUCUGAAGUGAAAGGCGGGGGCACAACCCCCGGACUGCUUUGGAAACUGUAUGGCUGGAGUGCAGGAGAGGUAAGUGGAAUUGCUAGUGUAGCGGUGAAAUGCGUAGAUAUUAGGAGGAACACCAGUGGCGAAGGCGGCUUACUGGACUGUAACUGACGUUGAGGCUCGAAAGCGUGGGGAGCAAACAGGAUUAGAUACCCUGGUAGUC
Molecule: ribosomal RNA, 443 nt
Filed under: uncultured bacterium
Lineage: Bacteria
Description: partial 16S ribosomal RNA
Rfam family: Bacterial small subunit ribosomal RNA
Source: RNAcentral